This 393-nucleotide ribosomal RNA is filed under the name uncultured bacterium. Its description in RNAcentral is "bacterial SSU rRNA". It matches the Rfam family "Bacterial small subunit ribosomal RNA", at positions 338 to 748 of the family's 1533-position model. The record is from RNAcentral.
CCUACGGGAGGCAGCAGUGGGGAAUAUUGGACAAUGGGCGCAAGCCUGAUCCAGCCAUGCCGCGUGAGUGAUGAAGGCCUUAGGGUUGUAAAGCUCUUUCAGUGGGGAAGAUAAUGACGGUACCCACAGAAGAAGCCCCGGCUAACUUCGUGCCAGCAGCCGCGGUAAUACGAAGGGGGCUAGCGUUGUUCGGAUUUACUGGGCGUAAAGCGCACGUAGGCGGAUCGAUCAGUCAGGGGUGAAAUCCUGGAGCUCAACUCCAGAACUGCCUUUGAUACUGUCGAUCUCGAGUCCGGAAGAGGUGAGUGGAACUCCUAGUGUAGAGGUGGAAUUCGUAGAUAUUAGGAAGAACACCAGUGGCGAAGGCGGCUCACUGGUCCGGUACUGACGCUG